CAGCACCUCAAGUGGUCAGGAUGAUUAUUGGGCCUAAAGCAUCCGUAGCCGGCUCUGUAAGUUUUCGGUUAAAUCUGUAUGCUCAACAUACAGGCUGCCGGGAAUACUGCAGAGCUAGGGAGUGGGAGAGGUAGACGGUACUCGGUAGGAAGGGGUAAAAUCCUUUGAUCUAUUGAUGACCACCUGUGGCGAAGGCGGUCUACCAGAACACGUCCGACGGUGAGGGAUGAAAGCUGGGGGAGCGAACCGGAUUAGAUAACCGAGUAGUCC
RNAcentral lists this ribosomal RNA (270 nucleotides) under uncultured archaeon. Its description in RNAcentral is "partial 16S ribosomal RNA". It matches the Rfam family "Archaeal small subunit ribosomal RNA", at positions 477 to 747 of the family's 1478-position model. The record is from RNAcentral.